UCAGGACGAACGCUGGCGGCGUGCUUAACACAUGCAAGUCGAGCGGAAAGGCCCUUCGGGGUACUCGAGCGGCGAACGGGUGAGUAACACGUGAGUAACCUGCCCCUAGCUCUGGGAUAAGCCCGGGAAACUGGGUCUAAUACCGGAUAUCACACACUUUUGCAUGAUGGUGUGUUGAAAGUUUUUCGGCUGGGGAUGGGCUCGCGGCCUAUCAGCUUGUUGGUGGGGUGAUGGCCUACCAAGGCGACGACGGGUAGCCGGCCUGAGAGGGCGACCGGCCACACUGGGACUGAGACACGGCCCAGACUCCUACGGGAGGCAGCAGUGGGGAAUAUUGCGCAAUGGGCGGAAGCCUGACGCAGCGACGCCGCGUGGGGGAUGAAGGCCUUCGGGUUGUAAACCUCUUUCACCACCGACGAAGCUAACGUGACGGUAGGUGGGGAAGAAGCGCCGGCUAACUACGUGCCAGCAGCCGCGGUAAUACGUAGGGCGCAAGCGUUGUCCGGAAUUAUUGGGCGUAAAGAGCUCGUAGGCGGUCUGUCACGUCUGCCGUGAAAACCCGAGGCUUAACCUCGGGCCUGCGGUGGAUACGGGCAGACUAGAGGUAGGUAGGGGAGAACGGAAUUCCCGGUGUAGCGGUGAAAUGCGCAGAUAUCGGGAGGAACACCGGUGGCGAAGGCGGUUCUCUGGGCCUUACCUGAC
RNAcentral lists this ribosomal RNA (702 nucleotides) under Actinoallomurus sp. L1871. Its description in RNAcentral is "bacterial SSU rRNA". It matches the Rfam family "Bacterial small subunit ribosomal RNA", at positions 24 to 744 of the family's 1533-position model. The record is from RNAcentral. Lineage: Bacteria; Bacillati; Actinomycetota; Actinomycetes; Streptosporangiales; Thermomonosporaceae.